Molecule: ribosomal RNA, 443 nt
Filed under: uncultured bacterium
Lineage: Bacteria
Description: bacterial SSU rRNA
Rfam family: Bacterial small subunit ribosomal RNA
Source: RNAcentral
UUACGGGAGGCAGCAGUGAGGAAUUUUCUGCAAUGGGCGAAAGCCUGACAGAGCAAUACCGCGUGAGGGAUGAAGGCCUACGGGUUGUAAACCUCUUUUCUCAAGGAGGAAGAUCUGACGUUACUUGAGGAAUAAGCAUCGGCUAACCCUGUGCCAGCAGCCGCGGUAAUACAGGGGAUGCAAGUGUUAUCCGGAAUUAUUGGGCGUAAAGCGUCUGCAGGUUGAUAUUUAAGUCUUUUGUUAAACCUCCGGGCUCAACCCGGAAUCUGCAAAGGAAACUAUAUAUCUUGAGUAUGGUAGGGGUAAAGGGAAUUUCCAGUGGAGCGGUGAAAUGCGUAGAUAUUGGAAAGAACACCAACAGCGAAGGCACUUUACUGGGCCAGUACUGACACUCAGAGACGAAAGCUAGGGGAGCAAACAGGAUUAGAAACCCUAGUAGUCCC